This 1433-nucleotide ribosomal RNA is filed under the name uncultured organism. RNAcentral's name for it is "16S ribosomal RNA". It matches the Rfam family "Bacterial small subunit ribosomal RNA". The record is from RNAcentral.
GCGGCGUGCUUAACACAUGCAAGUCGAACGGAAAGGCCCUGCUUUUGUGGGGUGCUCGAGUGGCGAACGGGUGAGUAACACGUGAGUAACCUGCCCUUGACUUUGGGAUAACUUCAGGAAACUGGGGCUAAUACCGGAUAGGAGCUCCUGCUGCAUGGUGGGGGUUGGAAAGUUUCGGCGGUUGGGGAUGGACUCGCGGCUUAUCAGCUUGUUGGUGGGGUAGUGGCUUACCAAGGCUUUGACGGGUAGCCGGCCUGAGAGGGUGACCGGCCACAUUGGGACUGAGAUAUGGCCCAGACUCCUACGGGAGGCAGCAGUGGGGAAUAUUGCACAAUGGGCGGAAGCCUGAUGCAGCAACGCCGCGUGCGGGAUGACGGCCUUCGGGUUGUAAACCGCUUUCGCCUGUGACGAAGCGUGAGUGACGGUAAUGGGUAAAGAAGCACCGGCUAACUACGUGCCAGCAGCCGCGGUGAUACGUAGGGUGCGAGCGUUGUCCGGAUUUAUUGGGCGUAAAGGGCUCGUAGGUGGUUGAUCGCGUCGGAAGUGUAGUCUUGGGGCUUAACCCUGAGCGUGCUUUCGAUACGGGUUGACUUGAGGAAGGUAGGGGAGAAUGGAAUUCCUGGUGGAGCGGUGGAAUGCGCAGAUAUCAGGAGGAACACCAGUGGCGAAGGCGGUUCUCUGGGCCUUUCCUGACGCUGAGGAGCGAAAGCGUGGGGAGCGAACAGGCUUAGAUACCCUGGUAGUCCACGCUGUAAACGGUGGGUACUAGGUGUGGGGUCCAUUCCACGGGUUCCGUGCCGUAGCUAACGCUUUAAGUACCCCGCCUGGGGAGUACGGCCGCAAGGCUAAAACUCAAAGGAAUUGACGGGGCCCCGCACAAGCGGCGGAGCAUGCGGAUUAAUUCGAUGCAACGCGUAGAACCUUACCUGGGUUUGACAUGGAUCGGGAGUGCUCAGAGAUGGGUGUGCCUCUUUUGGGGUCGGUUCACAGGUGGUGCAUGGCUGUCGUCAGCUCGUGUCGUGAGAUGUUGGGUUAAGUCCCGCAACGAGCGCAACCCUUGUUCACUGUUGCCAGCACGUUAUGGUGGGGACUCAGUGGAGACCGCCGGGGUCAACUCGGAGGAAGGUGGGGAUGACGUCAAGUCAUCAUGCCCCUUAUGUCCAGGGCUUCACGCAUGCUACAAUGGCUGGUACAGAGAGUGGCGAGCCUGUGAGGGUGAGCGAAUCUCGGAAAGCCGGUCUCAGUUCGGAUUGGGGUCUGCAACUCGACCUCAUGAAGUCGGAGUCGCUAGUAAUCGCAGAUCAGCAACGCUGCGGUGAAUACGUUCCCGGGGCUUGUACACACCGCCCGUCAAGUCAUGAAAGUUGGUAACACCCGAAGCCGGUGGCCUAACCGUUGUGGGGGAGCCGUCGAAGGUGGGACUGGUGAUUAGG